AUGACUCGUUUAACCCGACGGUAUUGGUGGGGCAUUGACAAGGGUAAAAGAAAAAUGCCGUGGCUGAGUUGGGAUAAGAUGACCCCGGCGAGCGCGCCUGUGCGCGAGGACUGCCGCGUCUACCCCGCAGCUUCUUCGUCUUCCUCGCGCAGCGCCUGCAACACCACCGGCCGCCGCCGUCAUCACCACGCCCCGCCGAAGCUCACCACCGCCUCGCGAGCCAUGGCUUCCUCCUCCUCGUCCCAUGCUGAGGACGUCGUCUCCGCGCCGCGUCCCCCAAGCCUUCUACUCGGCCUCGCACCUGCUGGCCCAUCCGGCCGCCGGACCUCGCCGGCAGGGUUCCUCCGGCCUCCCCGAGCCCUCCUCUGCAACGAUGUGAGCAUCCGGCUCCCCCCUGGCCUCUCCCCUCUCUUCGUCGUGCCUCGUAGGCGCCCUGCCGACGAGGCCGUGCCUCUGCCGCCACUCGACGCCGACAUGGUGGUCGAUUCCGACCGUCCCAGCUCCUGCUAG
Molecule: ribosomal RNA, 510 nt
Filed under: Triticum aestivum (bread wheat)
Lineage: Eukaryota; Viridiplantae; Streptophyta; Magnoliopsida; Poales; Poaceae
Description: partial small subunit ribosomal RNA
Source: RNAcentral